AUUGAACGCUGGCGGCAGGCUUAACACAUGCACGUCGAGCGAGCGGCGGACGGGUGAGUAGUGUCUGGGAAACUGCCUGAUGGCGGGGGAUACCUACUGAAAACGGUAGCUUAUAGCGCAUACCAUCAGAUGUGCACAGAUGAGAUGAGCUAGUAGGUGGUGUAAUGGCUCAACUAGGAGACGAUCCCUAUCUGGUUUGAGAGGUUGACUAGCCACACCGGAGAUGUGACCCGGUCCAGACUCCUGCGGGAGGCAACAGUGGGGAAGAUUGCAACAUGGGCGCAAGCCUAAUGGAGCCAUGCCGGGUGGGUGAAAAAGGGCUGCGGGUUGUAAAGCACUUUCCGCUAGGAGGCGUUACUCGCAGAAGAAGCACCGGCUAACUCCGUGCCAGCAGGCGCGGUAAUAC
RNAcentral lists this ribosomal RNA (406 nucleotides) under uncultured bacterium. RNAcentral's name for it is "partial 16S ribosomal RNA". It matches the Rfam family "Bacterial small subunit ribosomal RNA", at positions 30 to 526 of the family's 1533-position model. The record is from RNAcentral.